GUGGCUUCAGAUCUGGAAUUUAUUGUUGCAUUCACUUUUCAAAUGUGUUUGUAGUGUUUAAUUGAAGCCUAUAAUUGUGUUCCCCUCGCUAUCCACUACUGCAAUUUCGAUGCUGUACUUGGACGUCGGGGAACUAAAUUU
Small nucleolar RNA from Lathyrus oleraceus (garden pea), 141 nucleotides. RefSeq annotates it as small nucleolar RNA snoR136. The transcript has a single exon. The record is from RefSeq and is a predicted model, not a curated record. Lineage: Eukaryota; Viridiplantae; Streptophyta; Magnoliopsida; Fabales; Fabaceae.